GGAACACAAUUUCUGCAGCUCCUGAGGAGACGUUAUGUUCGAUUAACAUGUGCUUCAGGUUGGUUCAACUCUCCUAACAAAUGUCUGUAUGAUAUUAUCACUACCACUGCUGGCAGCACAUAAUUAUGUGACAUUGUACUGGGUACACUUCAUGGUUGGAUCAUGGCUGUAAUUUAUGGUACAGGUGUCUAAAGGUUUGUAAUUGACACACCUAUGCUAUGUCACACUGUGUAUAUUUAGAAAGACAACAUUUAUUUGUUAAUCCUUAGCCUUGCAACCAGGAGCAAGAUGAGCCAGGCUUACAUAUUCUGAGAGUGUCUUUAUAGUUUGACAUCAUCUUCUCAAGUCCCUGAGUGGCUUUUAAGAACACUUGUGUAGAAGGAAUUAGAAGAAGGAGUACUGCACUCAAUGAGUAGUGUGGUUCAUCCUCCCAAGGUUUUUUCUAUAAACAUGUUUGGCUUCCGAGGCUAAACUAUUUUAGGUGUUAAAGUACAUGUACCUUUUUCAUGGGAGCUGUGCGAAAUGUUUUGAAAUGUAUUAAAUUUUGCUGGUGAUUGCUCCUAUAAACAGACAUUUAAUUAUUUAAUGCCAAUACCUUAAUUAUCAUUGAUGUCACUUUCUUUAAGUAGAAGGAGAAGAGUAAAAUGCUUUGGAUCAUACCAUGAUGACUUGUGUAUUUUGUCAAUAACAACAACAACUAACUUUAUCACCAAAUUGAGAAGUUAAACUUAAUUUGCACACAUAAUAUAUUAAUACAAAAAAAGGUAACAUUUACUCAGAAUAACUGAAAAGCUAAUCCAGCUGAGUAAAAGUAAAUAAUGUUUAAAUAUAGGACGUAGGUUGGCACUAAAGCUCGAGCAAAGCAAAUUAUUGGUCAAAAAAAAAGAGGACAAAAAAUAAAUUUUAAAAAAUCAGAUAAAGAAAAAAGAAAAAGAAGAAGAAGAGACCAGUUGAAAACUCAUGAACAGUAAGACUGUAAGAUGUUUAAUUUGACUUUGUUUUUAAAUGUUUUAAGGGGGAGGUGUUUAAUGCUUUCGUCAAGGUGAUUCCAAACUUUUACAGCUGCGAAGCGAAUGUUGAAUUUACCAUAGUUCAAUUCCAUUAAUUUGUUGACUAAAGCAAGAAAGCUGGCUUGGGACAAAAUGUUACCAUUCAAGGGUAAACAAUAUACUGUACAUAUUGUGUCAAAAGAGGUGAGCAGUCUGGAUCAGUGUAGGAAGUUGAGUGAUAAAGCUGCUACAUGAAAUACAUGUACCUAUAUCAGUCUCUUGGUCAGCUGGCAGUUCAUAUACUUUCUCCCAUGUGAGCAAUACAGAUCGCUGUCUUAGUAAAGAAGAGAGAAUACACCUUUUUUUCUAAUCAUAGUAACAACCAAGGGGAAAAUUUGUGAAUUUCAUUUAGGAUGUUGUGCAUGCAUUCUUCCAAUCUUAUUGCCUGGUAAGAAAAUGUUGGGUUUUUUUCCCAACUAGAAAAUUAAUUGUUGUUAACAUCAUCAAAAUGACAGCAACCUAUCUUUUAAACCAUUCAAUUUCAAAGUUUUCAUUGACUUGUGUUGCUGAGAGCUACUUGUAACUUUAGCCAAGGUAAAUGAACUAGCUUAUUUCAUGACUGAAUAUUAGACUCAUGUUCAAUUUUGUUGAAUUGUGUGUAUAGCUGAGUGCUUAGGAUGUGUCUUGCCUCUAAGCCAGCCAAACCACACCACUUAUUGUUACAUUAUUUUUGCAGUUUUUUUGCCUGAAUUUUCCUUCCAGCAACAGGAGAAAUUACUAGUAACUCUAAAGUAAAUCCAAUCAUACAUGAUUCAGAGGACAAUUUUGAUAUUACAUAAUAAUAUUACUAAAAGACAGAAAGCUUUUUGUUUUGUGAAAAUGACUGCAUUCCAUUCAUUUUUUUUUCUGACAGUGAAUGUUCUUUAUUCCUGUCCUGAAGUCAUUUUAUAAAAUGGAGUACAGUUUACAGCUUGUGAUUUAAUGAUAAGCUGUCCAAGACUGGGGUAAAAAAUUAAUGUUGCUCACAAGUGAUAUUCAACUUUCAUUCAUACCACCUUAAUGGCUUCUUUGUAAUUCCACUUGAAAUAAGAAGGUGGCAAAUGCAAUUAAUUGUUGAAAUACGAAACACAGUGGCUGUCUUUAGUCAAUGGAAAUGAUGGUGGAGGCUUGUAGUUUGUAUCUUGAUAUUGGUCUUAAUAAAAAAUAAUGGUGUAAAAGACAUUUUCUUCUUGGGCAAAUGAAAAUAAAAACUUAUUCAAAUUUUGCACCAAUCUGUGGGUUGUUGUUUUUUAUUUCAGUUGAAUAUCCUAAAGCAUUUUCUUCUCUUUGUUAAAAGAUCAGUAACAUUUUGAGUCUAUUAGUUUGAGAAAUAGUACUGUGUUUUAAUUUGCCAUUAUCAUUUUGUAUGCUGUAUGUAAAAAUUGUGUUCAACAGGAAAUUACAAUUAAACCAAUAUAUGUUUCUCUUGAUCAUCCAAUAGGGUUUUUUUCUUAAUGAAUGAUAUGAUACUGAUGUUAUUAACAGUACAUGCUGAUAUUGUCCAACAGGUAGCUACUACAUGUAAGUUCAAUGAGUGAUUUUGACUAAAAAUAAUAAAAUGCAGUAUACCCUCAUAUAUCUCUGUUCACUUCCUAUUUAGCACUAGUCUCAAAUCAUCAACUUGCAUACCUCAAAAGCUACUGGUGCAUGUAUGCAUACCUUUACCUUUCCAAACACAAUAAGGAUUUGAAUUAAGAAACAUAAUUCCAGUCUCUUUAUGUAUCUGGUGUUAUUUGACAAUCCUUUAAAAAUCAUUGUGACCCUUUACUUCUAGGAACUGAAGCAUCCUCAUGAACAUCAUCGUGUAUACAACAAGAGUUUAACUGAUGUGUGGCUGAAACUGUUAUAUCAUUGCAUUAUUUUCUUAGUAUUUUUUGUUGUAUGGAAAAUGAAUGAUUAAUAAAGAGUUAAUAAAUGACA
This is a non-coding RNA of Pocillopora verrucosa, 2948 nucleotides long. The record is from RefSeq and is a predicted model, not a curated record. Lineage: Eukaryota; Metazoa; Cnidaria; Anthozoa; Scleractinia; Pocilloporidae.